UGGUGCUUGUCCCAGUGGUCCGCGAUCGUUUCAAUACAGCACGAAUCCUGGGAGCAAGUGCCAG
Molecule: microRNA precursor, 64 nt
Filed under: Eisenia fetida (common brandling worm)
Lineage: Eukaryota; Metazoa; Annelida; Clitellata; Crassiclitellata; Lumbricidae
Description: Efe-Mir-2689-P2_pre stem-loop
Source: RNAcentral